This 3174-nucleotide long non-coding RNA is filed under the name Betta splendens (Siamese fighting fish). RNAcentral's name for it is "lncRNA (ENSBSLG00000019562.1)". The record is from RNAcentral. Lineage: Eukaryota; Metazoa; Chordata; Actinopteri; Anabantiformes; Osphronemidae.
GAAACUCCAGGCAAUGCGGAAGGAUUUGGCACGCGCUCUGCGCGCGGCGCCCGUCAGCGUCUCAUCAGCUGUUCCUGCUGCACCGGAAAGCGCUCCUGUCGCUGCUCAGUCGAGUCAAGCUCACGUUCCUGUCGUCGCUCAGUCAAGUCAAGCUCACGUUCCUGUCGUCACUCAGUCAAGCCAAGCUCACGUUCCUGUCGUCACUCAGUCAAGCCAAGCUCACGUUCCUGUCGUCGCUCAGUCAAGCCAAGCUCCGUUCCUGUCGUCGCUCAGUCAAGCCAAGCUCACGUCCCUGUCGCUGCUCAGUCGGACCAAGCUCACGUUCCUGUCGCUGCUCAGUCGAACCAAGCUCACGUUCCUGUCGCUGCUCAGUCGAACCAAGCUCACGUUCCUGUCGCCGCUCAGUCGAGUCAAACUCACUCCCCUGUUGCCGCUCAGGCAGAUCCAGCUCCCGUUCCAGACACCAGCUCAUCGGUCCCAGUCCAUGCCCACGUUACCGCCAUAGUUCCCGAGUCCAAUUCCGCCCGUACCGUGGCCCCAGCCCCUGCUUCAGCCCUGGCAGUUGAGAAGCCCACAGCUAGCCGUCGGAGGUCCAGACGGCGUCGACGACAGCCGGUUUCCCCUGUCCAGGCUCCAGAAGACUCGGUCACGGAAAUCAGACUGCCUCCUUCGCCAGCAGAGGGCACUCUCGCCCCAUCGGACGACAUACCCACCUCCAUCGCAGGCAUCCCGGACAGCAUCCUCCAACGGAUCCGUGCCCAAUGCACCCCUCCAGUCCUGUUCCUGUUUGCGCACUGUCUGAACUCCGCCGAGGCAGAGACCGACCCGGUAAUCAAGGAGCGUCGCUUCCGUGAAGCCGCCCUGCUCAUCGCUCGGAAGCCUGCGCUGCGCGAGGCCCUGGGUUUCAUUGAACCCCCAUCAGAGCCUGCACCCGUUCCUGCAUCAGAGCCUGCACCCCUUCCUGCAUCAGAGCCUGCACCCCUUCCUGCAUCAGAGCCUGCACCCGCUCCAGCGUCUAAGCCUGCACUCCUGGCCCCAGCGUCUAAGCCUGCAUCCCUGGCCCCAGCGUCUAAGCCUGCAUCCCUGGCCCCAGCGUCUAAGCCUGCAUCCCUGGCCCCAGCGUCUCUGGCUGCAUCACUGGCCCCAGCGUCUCUGGCUGCAUCACUGGCCCCAGCGUCCCUGGCUGCAUCACUGGCCCCAGCGUCCCUGGCUGCAUCACUGGCCCCAGCGUCCCUGGCUGCAUCACUGGCCCCAGCGUCCCUGGCUAUAUCACUGGCUGCAGCAACUUCCGCCCUAGCCUCACCUCAGCCAUGCCAAGCUCCAGCUCCAGCUCACGCCUCACCUCAGCCAUGCCAAGCUCCAGCUCCAGCUCACGCCUCACCUCAGCCAUGCCAAGCUCCAGCUCCAGCUCACGCCUCACCUCAGCCAUGCCAAGCUCCAGCUCCAGCUCACGCCUCACCUCAGCCAUGCCAAGCUCAAGCCCCAGCUCAGCCUGCAGCAGCUCAAGCCUCAGCUCAGCCUGCAGCAGCUCAAGCCUCAGCUCAGCCUGCAGCAGCUCAAGCCUCAGCUCAGCCUGCAGCAGCUCAAGCCUCAGCUCAGCCUGCAGCAGCUCAAGCCUCAGCUCAGCCUGCUCAAGCUCAAGCCUUGGCUCCGCCACGCCAAGUUCAAGCUCCAUCUUUACGCCAGCUAGCAGGCACCCCUGGCCAGUCACACCAGGCCUCAGUUCCUGUUCCUGUCGGCCAUAUUGAGGCCGUUCCUGUUCCUGUCGGCCAAGUAGAGGUCGUUCCUGUUCCUGUCGGCCAUAUUGAGGCCGUUCCAGUCCCUGUUCCCGUCGGCCAUAUUGAGGCCGUUCUAGUUCCUGUCGGCUCCUCGGAGGAGGACGCCGUUCUAGUUCCUGUCGGCUCCUCUGAGGAGGACGCCGUUCUAGUUCCUGUCGGCUCCUCGGAGGAGGACGCCGUUCUAGUCCCUGUCGGCGCCUCGGAGGAGGACGCCGUUCUAGUUCCUGCCACUGUCGGCUCCUCGGAGGCCGCAGUUCCCGACGAUCCCCAGGUGGGGGUCGCUCCCGCCGCAGCACCUGUGGCAGCCCCUGCCGACCUCCCGGAGGAGGUCGGUCCAGCUCUGUCUCCUGCCGACCUCCCGGAGGAGGUCGGUCCAGCUCUGUCUCCUGCCGACCUCCCGGAGGAGGUCGGUCCAGCUCUGUCUCCUGCCGACCUCCCGGAGGAGGUGGUCGGCCCGCUCCUGGUCCCUGUGGUUUUUGUGCCAAUGUGUGCAGGUGCAGCUCCUGGUGGUCCGGUCCCGGACACGCCCGUCGCAGCCCCUGGGGGUCCGGUCCCGGCCACGCUCGUCUCUGCUCCUGGCGGUCCGGUCCCGGACACAUUCGCCUCAGCUCCUGGUGGUCCGGCCCCGGACACGUUCGCCUCAGCUCCUGGUGGUCCGGCCCCGGACACGUUCGCCUCAGCUCCUGGUGGUCCGGCCCCGGACACGUUUGCCUCAGCUCCUGGUGGUCCGGUCCCGGACACGUCUGUCUCCGCUCCUGGAGGCCCGGUGCCGGCCACGUCUCCACGUCUGUCUUCGCCUCUGGUUCCUGCCUCGUCUCCACGUCUGUCUUCGCCUCUGGUUCCUGCCUCGUCUCCACGUCUGUCUUCGCCUCUGGUUCCUGCCUCGUCUCCACGUCUGUCUUCGCCUCUGGUCCCUGCCUCGUCUCCACGUCUGUCUUCGCCUCUGGUCCCUGCCCCGUCUCCACGUCUGUCCUCGUCUCUGGUCCCAGCCUCGUCUCCACGUCUGUCCCCGUCGCCGUUCCCGGCUUCCCGCCGGCUCUCGCCUCACCUGCUGGACGGAGGGCCAGGUCCUUGGCGAAUCCUGUGGCAGGGAUGGCACUGCCUCGUGCGUCGUCGGCCACCUCGGCUGGCCGGUUCCGGAGGCGACCACCUACCGGGAGGUCGCUGUUUCCUGCCCCGACGAUGGCGCGGUCUCUGCCAUUGCCGACCGCCGCGCCUUCUCAGUUCCCUGGAGCACCCCCGGUCGGGAGAGCACCGGCGCAUGUGCUUGGCCACAGGAGGCGUCUUGUUCCGACGCCAGCCUCCUAGGACUCCAGCCUUGCCCUCGGGCACAAGAUGUGCCGUCUCGGCCUGGCGGCUGCCCGGCCGGGACUCUCCUCGCAUCCACCCUCCGUGA